GUUGUAAUCUGGAGAAGCAUUUUCCGCGUCGGACCGUGUACAAGUUUCUUGGAAUAGAACGUCAUAGAGGGUGAGAAUCCCGUCCAUGACACGGACUACCGAUGCUUUGUGAUAUGCUCUCGAAGAGUCGAGUUGUUUGGGAAUGCAGCUCAAAAUGGGUGGUAAAUUCCAUCUAAAGCUAAAUAUUGGCGAGAGACCGAUAGCGAACAAGUACCGUGAGGGAAAGAUGAAAAGCACUUUGGAAAGAGAGUUAAACAGUACGUGAAAUUGUUGAAAGGGAAACGCUUGAAGUCAGUCGCGUUGGCAGAGACUCAGCCUUGCUUUGCAUGGUGUACUUCUCAGUUAACGGGUCAACAUCAAUUUCAGUUGGUGGAUAAAGGCAUUGGGAAUGUGGCACCUUCGGGUGUGUUAUAGACCUUUGUUGCAUACACUGACCGGGAUUGAGGAACGCAGCACGCCACUAAGGCCAGGGAUUCGUCCCAUGUAACGUGCUUAGGAUGUUGGCAUAAUGGCUUUAAGCGACCCGUCUUGAAACACGGACCAAGGAGUCUAACAUGCCUGCGAGUAUUAGGGUGGAAAACCCUUGUGCGUAAUUAACGUGAAAGUUGGGACCUCUUGCGAGGGCACCGACGCCCGGCCCUGAAGUUUACUGACGGCGCUGCGGUAGAGCAUGUAUGUUGGGACCCGAAAGAUGGUGAACUAUGCCUGAAUAGGGUGAAGCCAGGGGAAACUCUGGUGGAGGCUCGUAGCGAUUCUGACGUGCAAAUCGAUC
Molecule: ribosomal RNA, 772 nt
Filed under: Schizopora radula
Lineage: Eukaryota; Fungi; Basidiomycota; Agaricomycetes; Hymenochaetales; Schizoporaceae
Also listed under: 1 other name
Description: partial large subunit ribosomal RNA
Rfam family: Eukaryotic large subunit ribosomal RNA
Source: RNAcentral